This 70-nucleotide transfer RNA is filed under the name Marmota monax (woodchuck). Its description in RNAcentral is "tRNA.Ala". Lineage: Eukaryota; Metazoa; Chordata; Mammalia; Rodentia; Sciuridae. The record is from RNAcentral.
GGGGUUGUGGCUCAGUGGUAGAGCCCUCUCUGGCAUGUGUGAGGCACUGGGUUUGAUCCUCAGCACCACA